GGCUCCUAUAGCUCAGUUGGUUAGGAGCGUCUGCCUACCAAUAGCUUAGAAGGUCGAGGGUUCGACUCCCUCUGGAGCCU
Haliotis rubra (blacklip abalone) is the source of this 80-nucleotide non-coding RNA. NCBI's taxonomy places the organism in Eukaryota, Metazoa, Mollusca, Gastropoda, Lepetellida, Haliotidae. The record is from the annotation of a RefSeq genome assembly.